CNCCCUACGGGGGAAAAAUUUAUUGCUAUUAGAUGAGCCUAUAUUAGAUUAGUUAGUUGGUGAGGUAAAGGCUUACCAAGACAAUGAUCUAUAGCUGAUCUGAGAGGAUGAUCAGCCACACUGGAACUGAGAUACGGUCCAGACUCCUACGGGAGGCAGCAGUGGGGAAUAUUGGACAAUGGGCGAAAGCCUGAUCCAGCCAUGCCGCAUGAGUGAAGAAGGCCUUCGGGUUGUAAAGCUCUUUUAGUGAGGAAGAUAAUGACGGUACUCACAGAAGAAGUCCUGGCUAACUCCGUGCCAGCAGCCGCGGUAAUACGGAGAGGGCUAGCGUUAUUCGGAAUCAUUGGGCGUAAAGGGCGCGUAGGCGGGUUAGUAAGUUAAAAGUGAAAUCCCAAGGCUCAACCUUGGAACUGCUUUUAAAACUGCUAGUCUAGAGAUUGAAAGAGGAUAGAGGAAUUCCUAGUGUAGAGAUGAAAUUCGUAAAUAUUAGGAGGAACACCAGUGGCGAAGGCGUCUAUCUGGUUCAAAUCUGACGCUGAGGCGCGAAGGCGUGGGGAGCAAACAGGAUUAGAUACCCUGGUAGUCCACGCUGUAAACGAUGAAUGUUAAAUAUGGGAAGUUUACUUUCUGUAUUAUAGCUAACGCGUUAAACAUUCCGCCNGGGGACUACNGUCGCAAGAUUAAAACUCAAAGGAAUUGANGGGGACCC
This 709-nucleotide ribosomal RNA is filed under the name uncultured Wolbachia sp. Its description in RNAcentral is "bacterial SSU rRNA". It matches the Rfam family "Bacterial small subunit ribosomal RNA", at positions 190 to 922 of the family's 1533-position model. The record is from RNAcentral. Lineage: Bacteria; Pseudomonadati; Pseudomonadota; Alphaproteobacteria; Rickettsiales; Anaplasmataceae.